RNAcentral lists this long non-coding RNA (410 nucleotides) under Bos taurus (domestic cattle). RNAcentral describes it as "long non-coding RNA NONBTAT025424". The record is from RNAcentral. Lineage: Eukaryota; Metazoa; Chordata; Mammalia; Artiodactyla; Bovidae.
GCUGUUUUGGGUGAAAAGAAAAUCAAAAUGGGAAAGUGAGUGAAUAAAAAACAAAAUGUACUGCACAGUGUUGUAAAGGACUGUUACAGAGUUCUUUUGAAUAAUGACGAAUUACUUCCUGAUUCAUGGUUGGUGACUUUUUUUUUAAACCCCACCCCCGACCCCAAGAAAUUUACCAUCAGGGAGGAACUGGUAUAGUUAACAUGUUUCUUUUUAGCAAGGCCCUCCAAAGUCAAAUGUGUGAUCCAUCCAGUCUAACAAAGCCAUUUCCUCAAUCUUAGAACCCACAGCUCUCCUAGGUAUAAAUUCCAUUUCAGAGGAAGACUUUUGACCACCGUUGAGCAGAAGAUGCUAGAGAAGAGCAAAGUUACUUGAAAGAAUUUCCUUCUACUAAAGAGAACUUACAAAUU